Molecule: ribosomal RNA, 498 nt
Filed under: uncultured bacterium
Lineage: Bacteria
Description: partial 16S ribosomal RNA
Rfam family: Bacterial small subunit ribosomal RNA
Source: RNAcentral
AUUGAACGCUGGCGGAAUGCUUUACACAUGCAAGUCGAACGGCAGCACGGGGCAACCUGGUGGCGAGUGGCGAACGGGUGAGUAAUACAUCGGAACGUGCCCAAUCGUGGGGGAUAACGUAGCGAAAGCUACGCUAAUACCGCAUACGAUCUACGGAUGAAAGCGGGGGGUCGGAAGACCACGCGCGAAUGGAGCGGCCGGUGGCAGAAUAGGUAGUUGGUGGGGUAAAGGCUCACCAAGCCGACGAUCUGUAGCUGGUCUGAGAGGACGACCAGCCACACUGGGACUGAGACACGGCCCAGACUCCUACGGGAGGCAGCAGUGGGGAAUUUUGGACAAUGGGCGCAAGCCUGAUCCAGCCAUUCCGCGUGCAGGAUGGAGGCCUUCGGGUUGUAAACUGCUUUUGUACGGAACGAAAAGGCUCUGGUUAAUACCCGGGGCUCAUGACGGUACCGUAAGAAUAAGCACCGGCUAACUACGUGCCAGCCGCCGCCGUAA